UCUCCGUUGGUGAACCAGCGGAGGGAUCAUUACAGAGUUGCAAAACUCCCAAACCCUUGUGAACAUACCCGUUACAGUUGCUUCGGUGGGCGGCCCCAGGGCGGGGCCGCAGCCUCUUCUCACGAGGCGCCCGCCGGAGGUAUAUAACUCUUUGUAUUAUGGUCUCUGAGUAAAUUUAUAAUAAGUCAAAACUUUUAACAACGGAUCUCUUGGUUCUG
RNAcentral lists this unclassified non-coding RNA (218 nucleotides) under plant metagenome. Its description in RNAcentral is "partial contains small subunit ribosomal RNA, internal transcribed spacer 1, and 5.8S ribosomal RNA". The record is from RNAcentral.